GCUGUGGCUCAGCUGGUAGAGCGCUUGGCUAGCAUGUGUGAAGCACUGGGUUCGAUUCUCAGCACUGCA
RNAcentral lists this transfer RNA (69 nucleotides) under Marmota monax (woodchuck). Its description in RNAcentral is "tRNA.Ala". The record is from RNAcentral. Lineage: Eukaryota; Metazoa; Chordata; Mammalia; Rodentia; Sciuridae.